GACGAACGCUGGCGGCGUGCUUAACACAUGCAAGUCGAACGGAAAGGCCCUGCUUUUGUGGGGUGCUCGAGUGGCGAACGGGUGAGUAACACGUGAGUAACCUGCCCUUGACUUUGGGAUAACUUCAGGAAACUGGGGCUAAUACCGGAUAGGAGCUCCUGCUGCAUGGUGGGGGUUGGAAAGUUUCGGCGGUUGGGGAUGGACUCGCGGCUUAUCAGCUUGUUGGUGGGGUAGUGGUUUACCAAGGCUUUGACGGGUAGCCGGCCUGAGAGGGUGACCGGCCACAUUGGGACUGAGAUACGGCCCAGACGCCUACGGGAGGCAGCAGUGGGGAAUAUUGCACAAUGGGCGGAAGCCUGAUGCAGCAACGCCGCGUGCGGGAUGACGGCCUUCGGGUUGUAAACCGCUUUCGCCUGUGACGAAGCGUGAGUGACGGUAAUGGGUAAAGAAGCACCGGCUAACUACGUG
RNAcentral lists this ribosomal RNA (468 nucleotides) under uncultured bacterium. Its description in RNAcentral is "partial 16S ribosomal RNA". It matches the Rfam family "Bacterial small subunit ribosomal RNA", at positions 28 to 507 of the family's 1533-position model. The record is from RNAcentral.